GCCACGCUGGGCGGCGGCGGGGGCGCGAUGGCGCUGGUGCUGCCGUUGCCGCUGCUGCUGUUCUUCGCGGCGGCGUGCGUC
This 81-nucleotide transfer RNA is filed under the name Phytohabitans flavus. Its description in RNAcentral is "tRNA-Thr". The record is from RNAcentral. Lineage: Bacteria; Bacillati; Actinomycetota; Actinomycetes; Micromonosporales; Micromonosporaceae.